This 1931-nucleotide unclassified non-coding RNA is filed under the name Eurytemora carolleeae. RNAcentral describes it as "zinc finger protein 431". The record is from RNAcentral. Lineage: Eukaryota; Metazoa; Arthropoda; Copepoda; Calanoida; Temoridae.
GGUCUGGCAUGUAAAACUGGUUAAUGGCUCCCUUGCUUCCCCCUAAUCCUUCCGGGCCAGUAUCUUCCAGUUGACGCGGCCUGACUUAGCUUACAUUCAGUUCUUUCUCCUUCAGCGCAUUUUUGGAUUUAAUUUGAAAAUCAUAAUUUCUUACUUAACAAUGCUUGUACUUCAACAUUUAAAAACCUAUUCUUAGUUUCAUUUAAAUCAAUGCAAAUAUCUUAAUCAUUUUAUUUUAUUAGACUAUUUACCUCAUAAGUAAAACAUGUAUUGUACAUAUUUCAGAGAGAAUGGCAGAAAUUAUGGAAGAAGAUAAAGUUACCAUCAAAGAAGAAAUCAAAGAAGAAAUCAAAGAAGAAAUCGAAAAAGAAAUCAAAGAAGAUGUAAAUGAGGAAAGUACAGAAAAUCGAGAUGAGUUUGUGAAGAUUGAAGUAGAUCCCCUUUUCUCUGAACCAAAGAGACUUAAAAAGAGUAAACUGAGAGAAAAAAGAGAUAAAAGUUAUCCCUGUGGAAAAUGUGAUUAUGUGGCAACUAAAUCCAUCUAUUUAAAGAGGCAUAUUGAAUCUAAACAUGAAGGAGUGAGAUAUCCUUGUUCUCAUUGUGAAUACGCUGCCACUCAGCCAGGUGAUCUGAAGAUACAUAUUGAAAAUAAACAUGAAGGAUUGAGAUAUCCAUGCGACCAAUGUGAUCACACUGCAACUACAGCAAGAAGUCUGAAGAAACAUAUUGAAUCUAAACAUGAAGGAAUACGAUAUCCAUGCGAUCAAUGCGAGUACGCUGCCACUCAAGCAGGUGAUCUGAAGAAACAUAUUGAAAAUAAGCAUAAAGGAGUGAGAUAUCCGUGUUCUCAUUGUGAAUACGCUGCCACUCAAAUAAGUAGUCUAAAGAGGCACAUUGAAUCUAUACAUGACAAAGUGAGGUAUCCUUGUUUACAAUGCAUGUAUGCUGCAAUUAACGCCAUUGAUCUAAAGAAACAUGUAGAUAGUGAACAUGCAGGAGUGAGAUAUCUAUGCGACCAAUGUGCAUACGCUGCCUCUACAGCAAGUUGUCUUAAAAAGCAUAUUGACUCUAAACAUGGAGGAGGGAUAUAUCCAUGCAACCAAUGUGUAUACUCUGCCACUACAGCAAGUAGGCUGAAGAGACAUUUGGAAUCUAAACAUGAAGGAGUCAGAUAUCCCUGUAAUCAGUGUGAAUACGUUGCUGCAGGGGUAAGGAGUCUGAAGUUACACAUUGAAUCUAAACACGAAGAAGUGAGAUAUCUCUGCGACAAAUGUGAUUAUGCUGCCACUACAGCAGGUAAUCUGAAGUUCCAUAUUGAAAGUAAACAUGAAGGAGUGAGAUAUCCUUGUUUACAAUGCGUGUAUGCUGCAACUAACGCAAGUGAUCUAAUGAAACAUGUAAAAGUGAAACACGAAGGAGUGAGAUAUCCAUGUGAUCAAUGUGAGUACGCUGCAACUCACCCAAGUAAUCUAAAGAAACAUAUUAAAAUUAAACAUGAAGGAUUAAGAUAUCCUUGCGAUCAGUGUGAGUACCGUUCCACUGAAGUUUGUUCUCUUAAGAAACAUAUUGAAAAAAAACAUAAAGGAGUGAGAUAUUUUUGCGAUCAAUGUGAGUAUGCUGCCAAAACAGAAUUUUUUCUGAAUAGACAUAUUAAAAAAAAACACAUGAAAGAGUGACAUAUCCAUGCGACCUACAGCAACUCGUCUACAGAAGCAUUUUGAUACUAAACACUAAUGAGUAAUAACGCUGCCACUCGACCAAAUAUUCUGAAGAUUCAUAUUGAAAUAAACAUAAAGGGGCAGACAAGCAAAAUAUAUAGAUAGAUAAAGAGUGAAUUUUAAUCAGUGUAAAUCAUUGUUUUAGCAAAUAUAUUUAUUUUAAUUCAAAGCCUAUUUAACUUUAAAUAUAACAUCUAGUGUACAUAUUUCAGA